RNAcentral lists this ribosomal RNA (468 nucleotides) under uncultured bacterium. Its description in RNAcentral is "partial 16S ribosomal RNA". It matches the Rfam family "Bacterial small subunit ribosomal RNA", at positions 28 to 507 of the family's 1533-position model. The record is from RNAcentral.
GACGAACGCUGGCGGCGUGCUUAACACAUGCAAGUCGAACGGAAAGGCCCUGCUUUUGUGGGGUGCUCGAGUGGCGAACGGGUGAGUAACACGUGAGUAACCUGCCCUUGACUUUGGGAUAACUUCAGGAAACUGGGGCUAAUACCGGAUAGGAGCUCCUGCUGCAUGGUGGGGGUUGGAAAGUUUCGGCGGUUGGGGAUGGACUCGGGGCUUAUCAGCUUGUUGGUGGGGUAGUGGCUUACCAAGGCUUUGACGGGUAGCCGGCCUGAGAGGGUGACCAGCCACAUUGGGACUGAGAUACGGCCCAGACUCCUACGGGAGGCAGCAGGCGGGAAUAUUGCACAAUGGGCCGAAGCCUGAUGCAGCGACGCCGCGUGCGGGAAGACGGCCUACGGGGGGUGAACCGCUUUCGCCUGUGACGAAGCGUGAGUGACGGUAAUGGGUAAAGAAGCACCGGCUAACUACGUG